Molecule: ribosomal RNA, 757 nt
Filed under: Diversispora eburnea
Lineage: Eukaryota; Fungi; Glomeromycota; Glomeromycetes; Diversisporales; Diversisporaceae
Description: eukaryotic LSU rRNA
Rfam family: Eukaryotic large subunit ribosomal RNA
Source: RNAcentral
GCAUAUCAAUAAGCGGAGGAAAAGAAACUAACAAGGAUUCCCCUAGUAAUGGCGAAUGAAGAGGGAAAAGCUCAAAUUUUAAAUCUACCUGGUUCCCAGGUCGAAUUGUAAUUUGAAGAAACGAUAUCGGUGUUAAGGUCUGGUUCAAGUUCUUUGGAACAAGACAUCAUGGAGGGUGAGAAUCCCGUGCAUGAUCAGACCGAGAUACUUAAUAUUCGUUCUCUAAGAGUCGAGUUGUUUGGGAAUGCAGCUCAAAAUGGGUGGUAGACUUCACCUAAGGCUAAAUAUCAGUGAGAGACCGAUAGCGAACAAGUACUGUGAAGGAAAGAUGAAAAGAACUUUGAAAAGAGAGUUAAAUAGUACGUGAAAUUGUCGAAAGGGAAACGAUUGAAGUCAGUCAUGCUAGUGAAAAUUCAGUUUGGCGGAUUUUGGGUUUAGGAGUAGAGGCAGGGUCAAACCGUUUCUCUUUUGAACUUGGAAUUUGUCAGAUGCACUUUUUCUUUGGCAGGUCAGCGUCGAUUUCGGAGGUUGUAAAAUACUUGGGGUAAAGUAGCUCUGCUUCGGGAGAGUGUUAUAGACCUUGGGGGAUGCAGCCUGCGGGAUCGAGGAUGCAGCAAAUGCUUUUUGGCUUGUCGCCUGAUCUCUGGAUGUUACCUCGCUUGUAACAACAUUCUUGUUGCCGGUGAGUACUAAUGCCUAUUAGGUUAGAGCGAUCAAAAAUUUUGCUAAGGAUGCUGACGUAAUGGCUUUAAACGAC